CAGGAAGGGAGGCCCCAAGAGGCCGGGUUCGCUUGGUUGGCGGCUGCAUCCCAGCAUCGGUCAUCGUGCACACGUGCCAGAUGGAUGAAGAUCUGCCUGACCGGCCCCUACUUCCCGACCUGCCUCCCGCAACUGGCUUGUCUGGAGAGGAGGUGUAAGGAGAAUGAAGCUGGAACACCUGAAUUCUACCAUCCAGGAGUCUGAAGACAAAUGAAGUAGGAAAGGUCCUCACCUGUAAUGGGGAGGACAAGGACGCUCCUGGCCACAGGCUGGCACAUCCCGCAGUCAGCGGCGGUGACCCAGACGGAGACCGGGAAGUCCCCGGGCACGUUCCCCACGACGCGGAUGGUGGAGCUGAAAGCCUCAUCUGUCUUCCCCGUGAGCAGCAACGGGGUGUGAAUCCAGCGGAAGCGGUAAAGGCGGGUGCUGGCGGGCAGGACCAGGCUGCCGUUGUCAUCGGCCACCAGGCUGGCCGUGAUGGUCACCUCUGCCCCCGUGGUGGCAGGGCCAUCGGGGGUGAGGUGAAGUUCAUACACGCCUAGGAACCCAGAAACGAAGACCGCGUUUCACGAAGGGGCGUGGCCAGGAAACCCACCGCCACCCUCUGGGCCGGCUUCUGUGAGUCUCUUUUACAGGUGGAGAAAUUGAGGCCCAGGCAGGUCAAGUGACCCGCCCAAGGGUCAUACGAUUAGUUCAUUGCCCAGCUGGGAUUCAAACCCAGGCCCAACUGACUCCAAAUCCCACACCCUUUCCCGUGUCUCCAGUUUGUUUUAUUUUUCAUGCCAGCCAAGCAGGGGCUUACAGAGCAUGUGUAUGCUGACCUGGCCCGGCUUCUUAGCCGUUAAAAUGAUGGCCAGUGCAUGUCACAGGAGGAGCCACCGCAGCUGAUGCCAAGAAAUGCCCCCCAUCGCCCACUCUUUUGGACUAACCUUUACAUGUGAAACAAAAUUCCAGCUGGAAACACAAAGCUGAGUCUGGACCCUGAUAAG
Molecule: long non-coding RNA, 989 nt
Organism: Globicephala melas (long-finned pilot whale)
Lineage: Eukaryota; Metazoa; Chordata; Mammalia; Artiodactyla; Delphinidae
Source: RefSeq, a predicted model, not a curated record